RNAcentral lists this small nucleolar RNA (56 nucleotides) under Nomascus leucogenys (northern white-cheeked gibbon). Its description in RNAcentral is "Small nucleolar RNA SNORD43". It matches the Rfam family "Small nucleolar RNA SNORD43". From Rfam's summary of the family: U43 is a C/D box small nucleolar RNA that is encoded in intron 1 of the ribosomal protein L3 gene in human and cow. Three other snoRNAs ( U82, U83a and U83b) are also encoded in the same host gene but from different introns. The rice homologue is expressed from a cluster also containing snoR16. Lineage: Eukaryota; Metazoa; Chordata; Mammalia; Primates; Hylobatidae. The record is from Rfam by way of RNAcentral.
CACAGAUGAUGAACUUGAUGGGUGGACUGAGACAAUGUGCUGUCAUGUUCUGAUUU